CCUACGGGUGUCAGCAGUGGGGAAUAUUGCACAAUGGGGGCAACCCUGAUGCAGCGACGCCGCGUGAAGGAAGAAGUAUUUCGGUAUGUAAACUUCUAUCAGCAGGGAAGAAAGUGACGGUACCUGACUAAGAAGCCCCGGCUAACUACGUGCCAGCAGCCGCGGUAAUACGUAGGGGGCACGCUUUAUCCGGAUUUACUGGGUGUAAAGGGAGAGUAGGCGGCGAGGCAAGUCAGAAGUGAAAGCCCGGGGCUCAACCCCGGGACUGCUUUUGAAAAUGUAUGGCUAGAUUGCAGGAGAGGCAAGUGGAAUUCCUAGUGUAGCGGUGAAAUGCGUAGAUAUUAGGAGGAACACCAGUGGCGAAGGCGGCUUGCUGGACUGUAAAUGACGCUGAGGCUCGAAAGCGUGGGGAGCAAACAGGAUUAGAUACCCCUGUAGUC
This 440-nucleotide ribosomal RNA is filed under the name uncultured bacterium. RNAcentral's name for it is "partial 16S ribosomal RNA". It matches the Rfam family "Bacterial small subunit ribosomal RNA", at positions 338 to 795 of the family's 1533-position model. The record is from RNAcentral.